AUUGUUGUGAAGGUUUUGAAUUUUGAAUAUUUAGCCAGUUUUGGUGGGAAAAGAGGAUAUUUGUGCGGAAGAAUAACAUGGGUAAAAGGGCUUGAAAGACGUCUCACAUUGAACUGGAAGUACAGAAUUGACCACAGUCUACUUUAACUUUUCCUGAUUUGAGAUUUCCAUGAUGAACCUCAUACAUGCUUCGGAGGAGAUGACUGCCAGGUGCUAUAGUUUAUGCCUUGUGAGGAAUUAGCUCAACGAAUAUUGUGGAAAGAGUUACAGCUUGUGACAUGAGCUUGAAAUAACAUUGAAGUCAAUGGGGCAAUAAUUGGUGAUCUGUGGCCUGUCUGUAGUGAAUGGAACAAAUUUUACAUUUUUUGCUGUGAUCAAAGUUUUGAAGAUUUUUACUUGAAAUUUUCAGAGCAGACGUCAAAAUCUGAGUUCACAGUUCAAGACUGCGUGUAUGAAUGAUCCUGCAGGGCUUCCUCUUGUGUUUCCGUCAUCAUGCCAUCUGAACAGUUAUAUUGUUAGAAGCCAGGAAUAUGGAACGUAGCCACCACGAAUUGUGAAAACCACCCCCACAGACGACUGAACAGUUGCGGC
This is a long non-coding RNA of Patella vulgata (common limpet), 591 nucleotides long. RefSeq lists it as uncharacterized. The record is from RefSeq and is a predicted model, not a curated record. The transcript is spliced from 3 exons. NCBI's taxonomy places the organism in Eukaryota, Metazoa, Mollusca, Gastropoda, Patellidae.